RNAcentral lists this ribosomal RNA (1094 nucleotides) under uncultured bacterium. RNAcentral describes it as "bacterial SSU rRNA". It matches the Rfam family "Bacterial small subunit ribosomal RNA", at positions 8 to 1105 of the family's 1533-position model. The record is from RNAcentral.
AGAGUUUGAUCCUGGCUCAGGAUGAACGCUGGCGGCGUGCCUAAUACAUGCAAGUCGAACGCGGGCACUUGUGCCCGAGUGGCGAACGGNUGANUAAUACAUAAGUAACCUGGCCUUUACAGGGGGAUAACUGCUGGAAACGGCAGCUAAGACCGCAUAGGUAGGGACACUGCAUGGUGACCGUAUUAAAAGUGCUGCAAGGCACUGGUAGAGGAUGGACUUAUGGCGCAUUAGCUGGUUGGUGAGGUAACGGCUCACCAAGGCGACGAUGCGUAGCCGACCUGAGAGGGUGACCGGCCACACUGGGACUGAGACACGGCCCAGACUCCUACGGGAGGCAGCAGUAGGGAAUUUUCGGCAAUGGGGGGAACCCUGACCGAGCAACGCCGCGUGAAGGAAGAAGGAAUUCGUUCUGUAAACUUCUGUUAUAAAGGAAGAAAGACGGAUGGAGGAAAUGACAUCCGAGUGACGGUACUUUAUGAGAAAGUCACGGCUAACUACGUGCCAGCAGCCGCGGUAAUACGUAGGUGGCAAGCGUUAUCCGGAAUUAUUGGGCGUAAAGAGGGAGCAGGCGGCAGCAAAGGUCUGUGGUGAAAGACUGAAGCUUAACUUCAGUAAGCCAUAGAAACCGGGCAGCUAGAGUGCAGGAGAGGAUCGUGGAAUUCCAUGUGUAGCGGUGAAAUGCGUAGAUAUAUGGAGGAACACCAGUGGCGAAGGCGACGAUCUGGCCUGCAACUGACGCUCAGUCCCGAAAGCGUGGGGAGCAAAUAGGAUUAGAUACCCUAGUAGUCCACGCCGUAAACGAUGAGUACUAAGUGUUGGAAGUCAAAUUUCAGUGCUGCAGUUAACGCAGUAAGUACUCCGCCUGAGUAGUACGUUCGCAAGAAUGAAACUCAAAGGAAUUGACGGGGGCCCGCACAAGCGGUGGAGCAUGUGGUUUAAUUCGAAGCAACGCGAAGAACCUUACCAGGUCUUGACAUACUCAUAAAGGAUCCAGAGAUGGAUAGAUAGUUAUAUGAGAUACAGGUGGUGCAUGGUUGUCGUCAGCUCGUGUCGUGAGAUGUUGGGUUAAGUCCCGCAACGAGCGCAACCCU